UGCAUUCACUACUGUAAGUCGCUCUGGAUAAGAGCGUCUGCUAAAUGACAAAAC
Non-coding RNA from Salmo salar (Atlantic salmon), 54 nucleotides. The record is from Rfam. NCBI's taxonomy places the organism in Eukaryota, Metazoa, Chordata, Actinopteri, Salmoniformes, Salmonidae.